GAUGAAGAACGUAGCGAAAUGCGAUAAGUAAUGUGAAUUGCAGAAUUCAGUGAAUCAUCGAAUCUUUGAACGCACAUUGCGCCCCUUGGUAUUCCGAGGGGCAUGCCUGUUCGAGCGUCAUUAUAACCCCUCAAGCUCAGCUUGGUGUUGGGGCCUGCCGCACGGGCAGCCCUUAAAAUCAGUGGCGGUGCCAUCUGGCUCUAAGCGUAGUAAUUCUUCUCGCUAUAGAGUCCCGGUGGAUGCUUGCCAUUAACCCCCAAUUUUCUAUGGUUGACCUCGGAUCAGGUAGGGAUCCCCGCUGAACUUAAGCAUAUCAAUAAGCGGAGGA
RNAcentral lists this unclassified non-coding RNA (328 nucleotides) under soil metagenome. RNAcentral describes it as "partial contains 5.8S ribosomal RNA, internal transcribed spacer 2, and large subunit ribosomal RNA". The stretch from base 1 to 120 matches the Rfam family "5.8S ribosomal RNA", at positions 35 to 154 of the family's 154-position model. The record is from RNAcentral.